AGGACUGUCAAACCUGAGAAUG
Molecule: microRNA, 22 nt
Filed under: Sus scrofa (pig)
Lineage: Eukaryota; Metazoa; Chordata; Mammalia; Artiodactyla; Suidae
Description: ssc-miR-1388
Source: miRBase by way of RNAcentral